This is a long non-coding RNA of Sarcophilus harrisii (Tasmanian devil), 3222 nucleotides long. RefSeq lists it as uncharacterized. The record is from RefSeq and is a predicted model, not a curated record. NCBI's taxonomy places the organism in Eukaryota, Metazoa, Chordata, Mammalia, Dasyuromorphia, Dasyuridae. The transcript has 3 exons.
AAGAGUUGGUGAUAGAGACAGAGAGGGCAAGGAAGAAAAGGCAGAGAGAGGGAGAGACAGAGAGGGAAAGAGACAGACUGUGUGUGAGAGUAUGUGUUUGUGUGUGUGUGUGUUUGUGUGUGUUCAUUCCACAACCUGGUAUUUCAUCAGAUAAGGGGUUGCCUUGUUUUCUCGUCUUCCAGAAUCUCUUACAGGAAAUACUUGGACGAUACCAUGGGGAAAAGAAAUCGGGAAUCUACCCACGACUCGGUCCAGGAGCAGUGGAAGAGCCUCUUCCAGAAGGCAAAAGCACUGCUAUUUCGAGAUUCCCCUCAAUGUACUGCACCCUUAUCAGAGAGGAAAAAUGUGUAGGUGUGGGACCUCGAGGUCCAGGAAGAGAGCAUUCCUGCAAGGCCAAAAUCGGAAGGAAAAACCAUUGUGGCCCCAUCCUCAGUGAGGAGUUUGGCUUCUGAGGCUCCUAUGCUAAUAGUCAUAGUCUCAUUUUGAAUUAUUACCCUUUACUGCUUGGUUGCCUCAUUCAAGUACAAUUUUUUCAGAGUUUCAGCCCUUUACAGCUUCCCAUUGCCACUCUUCAUUUUUCAAAGAAUUAUUUUCAUCUUGAGACUCCUUUCCUCCUUUGCAAGUUGGUUUACUUUUUUUUCUUUUGAUUUUCAUUUUUCUUGGAAGCAUUUUUUUUUGGUUACAUUUUUCUCAAUUUCUUUUGAUUUUAAAUUCUUCUUUGAGUUCUACACAUUUCCUUUGCUUUUGCAGCCACUGCACAUGACUCUUUAAGGUAAAAGCUUUUUUUCCAUAAGUGUCUGAAGAUGAACUCUUGUGUUCCCUAUUCUGAUAAUCUAUUUCAAUGGUGGGGUUCUUCCUUGCAGGUGUGUUUUUUAAAACGAGGAAUGAUUAUUGAGCUCUUUUAAGUGAUGUGUGGGGGAGUUCCUCAAGCUUCCAUUCAGAGUUGCCCUCUGACCAGGAAACCCAAAGACUCUGACCAAGAACCCCAAGGCAAGAACUGCCCUUGCUUGCAAGUAUCAGCAGGCAGCAGGGUCCCGGGUCUACUGCCUCUGAACCCACCCAGGGUUGGAUCCUGGCCAGGGCCAAUCCUCAGUGCUAUGUCCAAGUGACACAGCUGGACCUGGCUGCCAUCCUAGUCAGCCCAGCUUCACUCAGGCCUCCAGGACUCAGACCUCAACUUGACAAGAGAGUCUGGGAGAUAGAUGAAAAUCCCUGUGGUUCCUGUGAGGCUCCGGCCACUCCCAGCUUAGCCAAGGGGCCCCACUUGUUUCUGUGGAUUUAGCCUGGAGGUGUUGCCAUUUUAGAGAGAUUCAUCUCCAGUCCAAUGGCUUUUUUCACAACCCUUUGGGUUGUGUGUGAAGGACCCCCUGUGAUACCCCGAGUCUGAUUUGUAUGUCUAAAUUCUAAGUUACAAAUUUGUUCCAUUUGUGGGGGAAAUUGGGAGAACUCGAACACUUUCCUAGACCCCUCCAGAGCGGAAAUUUUUAAAAAUGGAUCAAAAUGAACCCUGUUGUCCCCAACCUUUUUCCUUAGGCUUUUGGGAGGAGUGCUUGUGGACUGUUGUAGGAGAAGGUUUUGACUGGGGAGCCAAGGCUAGCUGGAAUUUUCUGGUCUUCUUCCAGGGACUACUGGCUUUGGCAGUACAGCAUGGGGCUUCUUGAGCUGGAGGACUUUCUACCUGAGGCCAAUUAGUGUGUUGGGAAACAACUUUCGGGGAUGUCUUGGACUCACUUGUCAGGACUGGGGAUAUUUUUGUGUUGUUGUUCUGAGGAGCACUGAGUACUUUGAUGGCCCUAACUUGCAUGCCUUCUUGGGGUGGAGGAUGUUCUCCCUGAUCCCAGUUAAAAGAAGGUUUAGAGAGAGCUCUCGAGGAUGUCUUGGAGUCAGUGGGGAGGGCUGGGGGUACUUUGGUGGCCCUCCUCUUCCAAGGAACUCUUGAGUACUUUGAUGGUAUUUUAAUAUGGAUGCAUUCUUGGGGUAGAGGAUCUUCUCCCUGGGGCAGAUUAGAGGAGUGUUCAGAAACAACUGUGGUGGAUGUCUUAGACUCAGUUGGCAGAACUGGGGAUAUUUUGGUAUUCCUCUGAGGAGCACUGACUACUUUCAUGGCACUAACGGUAUGUGUUUUGUGGUAGAGCAUCUUCUCCCUGGGGCGAAGUGGUGUUUGGAAACCAAUUUGGGGGAUGUGUUGGACUCAGAUGGCAGGACUAGGGAUAUUUUGGUGGUCUUCCAAGGAGCAACUCCUAUUUUGAUGGGACUAAUUUGGAUGGCUUCUUGGCGUGGAGGACCUUCUCCCUGAGCCCAAUUGAAAGAAGGUUCAGAGAAAACUCUCCAGGUUAUUUUGGAGUCAGAUGGCAGGGCCAGGGAUUCUUUGACCAUCCUUUUCCAAGGAACACUGACUGGGCUGGCUUCUUGGGGUGGAGCAUUUUUUUCCCUGGGGCCAAUUAAAGUGUUCAGAAACAACUUUGGGAGAUGUCUUGGACUCAGUUGGCAUAAAUGGGGAUACUUUCAUGUCCUUCCGAGGAGCAUUGAAUAUUUUGAUGGCACUAACUUGCAUGACUUCUUGGAGUGGAGGACCUUCUCCCUGGGCCCAGUCGAAGAAAGGUUCAGAGAGAACUCUCUAGGAUGUCUGAAAAUUAGAUGGCAGGGCCAGGGACACUUUGGCCGUCCUCUUCCAAGGAGCACUGACUAUUUUGAUGGUCUAGCCUAGGUUGAUGCUGGAUGAAUGUUUGGUGUUAAGAUAAUCGUAUCCAAGGCUUAGAGGGCAGAGAAACAGAGGCCAGAGACUCACCUUGCAGCAGGAUGAGAAGAAGAGAAGUUGGUUCCUUUGGACUCAGACAAUCGAGGUUACAUCUUUGGGUGAGCCUGUGGCAGUUUGCCUGCUUCUUUCACUUCUCCUCCUGAAGACCAAGGACUUUUACUUAUCCUGACUCUGGCUGAUCCUGACGCCUCCAGCGAGCUAGUCUGGACUUAACAGGAAGUCGUAGAAAUGAACAACAAAGAAAUUACGAUAAAGAUUGUAAAUAUUGAAAACAAACUGAACAUUGUGAAACAUAACUUAAAAGACAGAUCUGGAGAACAGAUUAGGAAUAGAAAAUUGAAGAACUGGACUACCUAAACAUUUUGACCAAAAAAAGAACCUGAACACAAUAAUGCAAGAAAUAAUUGGUGAAUACUGUCCUGGAAUGAUAGGACAUGAGGGUAAAAUGUCACAAUAGGAAAAAA